UUAAGCGACUAAGCGUACACGGUGGAUGCCCUGGCAGUCAGAGGCGAUGAAGGACGUGCUAAUCUGCGAAAAGCGUCGGUAAGGUGAUAUGAACCGUUAUAGCCGGCGAUGUCCGAAUGGGGAAACCCAGUGCAAUUCGUUGCACUAUCGUUAACUGAAUACAUAGGUUAACGAGGCGAACCGGGGGAACUGAAACAUCUAAGUACCCCGAGGAAAAGAAAUCAACCGAGAUUCUCCCAGUAGCGGCGAGCGAACGGGGAGCAGCCCAGAGUCUGAAUCAGCUUGUGUGUUAGUGGAACGGUCUGGAAAGUCCGACGGUACAGGGUGAUAGUCCCGUACACCAAAAUGCACAGGCUGUGAACUCGAAGAGUAGGGCGGGACACGUGGUAUCCUGUCUGAAUAUGGGGGGACCAUCCUCCAAGGCUAAAUACUCCUGACUGACCGAUAGUGAACCAGUACCGUGAGGGAAAGGCGAAAAGAACCCCGGCGAGGGGAGUGAAAAAGAACCUGAAACCGUGUACGUACAAGCAGUGGGAGCACCUUCGGGUGUGACUGCGUACCUUUUGUAUAAUGGGUCAGCGACUUAUAUUCUGUAGCAAGGUUAACCGUAUAGGGGAGCCGCAGGGAAACCGAGUCUUAACUGGGCGUUAAGUUGCAGGGUAUAGACCCGAAACCCGGUGAUCUAGCCAUGGGCAGGUUGAAGGUUGGGUAACACUAACUGGAGGACCGAACCGACUAAUGUUGAAAAAUUAGCGGAUGACUUGUGGCUGGGGGUGAAAGGCCAAUCAAACCGGGAGAUAGCUGGUUCUCCCCGAAAGCUAUUUAGGUAGCGCCUCGUGAANUCAUCUUCGGGGGUAGAGCACUGUUUCGGCUAGGGGGUCAUCCCGACUUACCAACCCGAUGCAAACUACGAAUACCGAAGAAUGUUAUCACGGGAGACACACGGCGGGUGCUAACGUCCGUCGUGAAGAGGGAAACAACCCAGACCGCCAGCUAAGGUCCCAAAGUCAUGGUUAAGUGGGAAACGAUGUGGGAAGGCACAGACAGCCAGGAUGUUGGCUUAGAAGCAGCCAUCAUUUAAAGAAAGCGUAAUAGCUCACUGGUCGAGUCGGCCUGCGCGGAAGAUGUAACGGGGCUAAACCAUGCACCGAAGCUGCGGCAGCGACACUAUGUGUUGUUGGGUAGGGGAGCGUUCUGUAAGCCUGCGAAGGUGUGCUGUGAGGCAUGCUGGAGGUAUCAGAAGUGCGAAUGCUGACAUAAGUAACGAUAAAGCGGGUGAAAAGCCCGCUCGCCGGAAGACCAAGGGUUCCUGUCCAACGUUAAUCGGGGCAGGGUGAGUCGACCCCUAAGGCGAGGCCGAAAGGCGUAGUCGAUGGGAAACAGGUUAAUAUUCCUGUACUUGGUGUUACUGCGAAGGGGGGACGGAGAAGGCUAUGUUAGCCGGGCGACGGUUGUCCCGGUUUAAGCAUGUAGGCUGNNNNNNNNNNNNNNNNNNNNNNNNNNNNNNNNNNUUGUCCAGGCAAAUCCGGAUAAUCAAGGCUGAGGUGUGAUGACGAGGCACUACGGUGCUGAAGUAACAAAUGCCCUGCUUCCAGGAAAAGCCUCUAAGCAUCAGGUAACAUCAAAUCGUACCCCAAACCGACACAGGUGGUCAGGUAGAGAAUACCAAGGCGCUUGAGAGAACUCGGGUGAAGGAACUAGGCAAAAUGGUGCCGUAACUUCGGGAGAAGGCACGCUGGUGUGUAGGUGAAGUCCCUGCGGAUGGAGCUGAGACCAGUCGAAGAUACCAGCUGGCUGCAACUGUUUAUUAAAAACACAGCACUGUGCAAACACGAAAGUGGACGUAUACGGUGUGACGCCUGCCCGGUGCCGGAAGGUUAAUUGAUGGGGUUAUCCGUAAGGAGAAGCUCUUGAUCGAAGCCCCGGUAAACGGCGGCCGUAACUAUAACGGUCCUAAGGUAGCGAAAUUCCUUGUCGGGUAAGUUCCGACCUGCACGAAUGGCGUAAUGAUGGCCAGGCUGUCUCCACCCGAGACUCAGUGAAAUUGAACUCGCUGUGAAGAUGCAGUGUACCCGCGGCAAGACGGAAAGACCCCGUGAACCUUUACUAUAGCUUGACACUGAACAUUGAGCCUUGAUGUGUAGGAUAGGUGGGAGGCUUUGAAGCGUGGACGCCAGUCUGCGUGGAGCCAACCUUGAAAUACCACCCUUUAAUGUUUGAUGUUCUAACGUUGGCCCCUUACCGGGGUUGCGGACAGUGUCUGGUGGGUAGUUUGACUGGGGCGGUCUCCUCCCAAAGCGUAACGGAGGAGCACGAAGGUUAGCUAAUCCUGGUCGGACAUCAGGAGGUUAGUGCAAUGGCAUAAGCUAGCUUGACUGCGAGCGUGACGGCGCGAGCAGGUGCGAAAGCAGGUCAUAGUGAUCCGGUGGUUCUGAAUGGAAGGGCCAUCGCUCAACGGAUAAAAGGUACUCCGGGGAUAACAGGCUGAUACCGCCCAAGAGUUCAUAUCGACGGCGGUGUUUGGCACCUCGAUGUCGGCUCAUCACAUCCUGGGGCUGAAGUAGGUCCCAAGGGUAUGGCUGUUCGCCAUUUAAAGUGGUACGCGAGCUGGGUUUAGAACGUCGUGAGACAGUUCGGUCCCUAUCUGCCGUGGGCGCUGGAGAAUUGAGGGGGGCUGCUCCUAGUACGAGAGGACCGGAGUGGACGCAUCACUGGUGUUCGGGUUGUCAUGCCAAUGGCACUGCCCGGUAGCUAAAUGCGGAAGAGAUAAGUGCUGAAAGCAUCUAAGCACGAAACUUGCCCCGAGAUGAGUUCUCCCUGAGACU
This 2825-nucleotide ribosomal RNA is filed under the name Klebsiella pneumoniae. RNAcentral's name for it is "23S ribosomal RNA". It matches the Rfam family "Bacterial large subunit ribosomal RNA". The record is from RNAcentral. Lineage: Bacteria; Pseudomonadati; Pseudomonadota; Gammaproteobacteria; Enterobacterales; Enterobacteriaceae.